Molecule: long non-coding RNA, 1898 nt
Organism: Felis catus (domestic cat)
Lineage: Eukaryota; Metazoa; Chordata; Mammalia; Carnivora; Felidae
Exons: 6
Source: RefSeq, a predicted model, not a curated record
AAAUCAUCACAAAUUUAGUGACCUAAAACAACACCCCUUUGUCAAUGAGUCCAGGCAUUGAGUGAUGGCCUCAGUAUUCAUCAUCCACUGGUCUUGGUCAGAAUCCACCGAUUCUAAGGCUGAAAUCAAGGGGUCAGCCAAACAGACUUCUCAUUGGAUGCUCUCAGGCCUCCACCUGUCACCUGGUCUUUAAGCAUAUGCCAUGUAACUAUUGUGUGAUGAUAGAAUCUUACUUCUGGGUACCAAUUUCUGCUUCAGUUAUCUGUUGCUGUAUAAGAAGACCUUAAAAUCUAAUGGCUUAAAACACUAAAUGGCCUUUCCCUAUCUGCCUCAAACUUUGGCAACUGGGUUCCAAAACGGAGUACUCCAAGAAGAAGAGCCUUAAUGUUGUUUUAGAUUUCAAAAGCCUGGUCGGUCUAAUUAAUUCUAUCUUUAAAAGGAAAGAAAAACAAAAAACAACUUUAUCUUAAUACUAAAACCAUUUUAAAGUCAUCCAGGAGUUUGAGGAAGCCUUACAAGUUUCUAUUUUAUGCAGGGCCAGGCUUGGACUAUUAUGAAUGUUGCUGAACACUGUUAAUCAAGCUUACACAGCUAUUUUGAUGGCAAACAAUUAGAACUCUGCAGCUCUACCUUGCAAUUAGCUUCAGGGAUAUGGACCUCAGCACCAUAAUAAUGAAAGAGACCGCCUUCAAGCACAGACUCCUACAUGUAUUCUGAAUUCACGUUUCUUCUGGAAUAGGCACACCAACUAACUACGGAGUUUUAGUGAAUCUUCACUGAUCAGUAUGAGUCUGUAACUGUUCUCUGUUAAGGGUAAAUUUUAGUUAUUUGGACUAAAUAACUUCAAGCUCAAAAUGGCCUUGGGGCUUGAAGCUAUUUCUAAGUAGUAUCUUAAGUGACCCUUAAACUAUGUUUAGUUUGUUCUGACUCAAGUUUUCUUGAAGUUGAAAUAUAGCAAAAAUAGAUAUUUCUGUCUUUUUUUUUUUCUUCCAAUGUUAAGUUAGAAGAAAAACUAUUAGAAUUCCAGGGAUCUUGCUUAUUUUAAAAAUAUUCUCACAAUAAUUCCUUACACAAACUGUUACUUGAUGAUCAUCUACUACUCUAAAAAUGACUGAAAAGUCCAUGCCUAUGGAACUUACAAAACAUCAAGGUAAUUUCACCUUUUCCAAAGCUUUCUGUACAACUUUAUGAAGUUGAUCAUUCUAUGUUUGGGGAAAAUAUACAAUGGGACAAGCUGAAGUCCCAGAAUAAGAAAUAAAUCAUUUAUGGUAACAUUAACGGGCCAUUCCCAACAAUCACCAAAAUUACUUUUAGAUGUAAGCACUCACGAAUUUCUUUUAGCUAUUAUUUUGUACCACAGAAUGAAGUGGUUACAUAAGCAAUGCCUGAAAAUCUCAACUCCAAGCACAAUGUUGCUUCUGAGCCAGGAUUUGCUAAAAAAUUCUGGCUGUUUGUUAAAAUUAGCCCUAAUCUAGCUCUGAAUUUUCUUUCCUCCAGGUGCUCAAGAGCAAAAUUAUCUAAUCCACAGAACUCUGUGUUAACAGUUUUAAGUAUAUGUGUAUAUAUAUGAUUUUUAUAUUUAUUAAAAUAUAUCUACAUUUUAAAAUCACAGUGAAAAAAGAGACUCCAGAUAGAACAGAGAGACAUAAGAGCUCUUCCUGAGAAGUUUUUUAUCUAGUAGUAGAGAGAGGGUUAAAAAACAUCAACAUAGAAUAGCUUAGAAUUUGUAGUAAGAAAUGAAAAAGUGAUCAAAUUUUACAUCACCCCCUCUCCCACAAAAAGUCCUUAGGGAGGACAGAGUAAUCAGUUUGCUUAAUUAAUAAACAUUUUAAAAAUUAAGAAAAAAGGUCAAAGGUGAUAUUUUUUUUUAAUAUGAAAUUUAUUGACAAAUUGGUUUC